AGAAGCGACAGAGAGAGAGGAAUCUGAUGUUCCCAGAGGAAAUAGCAAUGACCCCACAGAGCUGAGGACACCACGGGAAGAUGAGAAAGCUCACUGGGGAAGAAGCCCUUGACCUCCCAGAUGCCCAGCACUGGGUGUGCAGCAGAGCUGGUGAUUCCAGCUGGGGAGGUGAGGACUCCACUGCGAGCUGAGCGGGAACAGCCCCUUCCCAUGACUGAGGCCCCAGAGGCACGGAAUGGUCAGAAUGCCGGUGGCUGAGGGAGGCACGGGGGCAGCUGCUGGAGGAGGGAGACACGCAGAAGGAGCAUUUCAGGCACUGGAAGGACAGGUCAUUUCUCUGCCCCGCCUCCGCUCCUUCCUUUGCUGCCCCCAGAGAGUGGUUUCCGGCAGCUCUGUUAUCUCGGGGCUGGCAGGUGGUUUCUGCCUCUCCCUCACUCAGCAAACACGCAGCUUGGUCUCGGCAUGCACCUCGCCUAUCUCAUCCUCACGGUCUUCCUGGGCCAGCUCCUGGGCACCACGGGGCAGAUCAAGGUCACCCAGGAAGAUGGACAAGUCAUGGUGAAGCAGAGACAUCCCUUCCAGACCACCUGCACAUACCAGACCAAUUAUUUUAAUGCUUUGCUGUGGUACCAGUUGCGGAAAGGCCAAGCCCCACAGCUGGUCUCCUAUCACGCAGGGCCUGGCGCCAAGCACAGCGGCCGUAUCACCACGCACCUGAACACCACGGGGAAAUACAGUGUCCUGCAGGUGGAGGAAGUGGAGGUCUCUGACAGUGCCUUGUACCUCUGUGCUGUGCAAGACACCCUGGUGCAGGGAACUUCCUCGGCUGUGCAACAAGCCAGGGGAGGGAGGGAGGGAGGGGAUGUGUCUGUGUGAGGGUGAGCUUGGGGCAAGGGAACCUGAGGUCGCCCCG
Molecule: non-coding RNA, 913 nt
Organism: Corvus hawaiiensis (hawaiian crow)
Lineage: Eukaryota; Metazoa; Chordata; Aves; Passeriformes; Corvidae
Source: the annotation of a RefSeq genome assembly